GCUGGUGAGGGAAGUGGCAGCUUAACCAAGUGUAAGGUUUCUGUUUGCUGAGGCACCUCUACAGAUGACUGAAGAAUGCUUGGGAGGAUAAACACCUACUGGUUUACUUACAGAUAAACUUGGAGGUCUCUAGAAACCAGUUGUGUGACAACAACCUAGCAACUUCCUCUGAAGUUGUGCUCUUGGGAUGGCAAGAAAGAGAAGUACAGAAGAGGGGCCAACACGUUCUUUUGUGAGACUGUAAGCUCUCUAAGUGCUGGGAUGACGUCUUCAUUCAUUCAUAUGUUCAUUUAUGGAGCAAACAUUUAAUGCACAGCUACUAUGUGUGUGACACUUUAUUAAGCCCUGGGAGAUGCGAAGA
Choloepus didactylus (southern two-toed sloth) is the source of this 361-nucleotide long non-coding RNA. RefSeq lists it as uncharacterized. The transcript has 3 exons. Lineage: Eukaryota; Metazoa; Chordata; Mammalia; Pilosa; Megalonychidae. The record is from RefSeq and is a predicted model, not a curated record.